GAAACUUCCAACCCUAGGGAUACUCAAGCCUCCCUUGUUUUUAGCUUCCAAUUUCCCCCCUUAAAUCUCCCCAGCGCCAAAUAGCUUUUGCUCUUUACUUCCCCUCCUUCAUUCCGUAUUUCCAGAUUAUUUGGAGCGCCAGUCAGCCUUGAUUCCAAUCCCAUUGGCUCAUCUGCAAGUUAGAAGGAGGUGCUGGAAACGUCAAAAAGUCGUCAUCCUUGUACCUUGAUCAGAAGUUGAAUGGACCGCUUUUGCCUGAUCUGAUGGCUCACUAUUAAGUUCUUUGGCUUUCCUCUCCUCCUGUAACGAAGCACAUCUGCAUUUUUCUUCCUCCUGUAUUGAGCAGCAGCAAAUCAACUCCUAAAUUGAAGCACUCAAAAU
Molecule: long non-coding RNA, 381 nt
Filed under: Anolis carolinensis (green anole)
Lineage: Eukaryota; Metazoa; Chordata; Lepidosauria; Squamata; Anolidae
Description: lncRNA (ENSACAG00000036292.1)
Source: RNAcentral